RNAcentral lists this ribosomal RNA (446 nucleotides) under uncultured bacterium. RNAcentral describes it as "SSU rRNA". It matches the Rfam family "Bacterial small subunit ribosomal RNA", at positions 26 to 518 of the family's 1533-position model. The record is from RNAcentral.
AGAGCGAACGCUGGCGGCAGGCUUAACACAUGCAAGUCGAGCGGGCGUAGCAAUACGUCAGCGGCAGACGGGUGAGUAACGCGUGGGAACAUACCUUUUGGUUCGGAACAACACAGGGAAACUUGUGCUAAUACCGGAUAAGCCCUUACGGGGAAAGAUUUAUCGCCGAAAGAUUGGCCCGCGUCUGAUUAGCUAGUUGGUGAGGUAACGGCUCACCAAGGCGACGAUCAGUAGCUGGUCUGAGAGGAUGAUCAGCCACAUUGGGACUGAGACACGGCCCAAACUCCUACGGGAGGCAGCAGUGGGAAUAUUGGACAAUGGGCGCAAGCCUGAUCCAGCCAUGCCGCGUAAGUGAUGAAGGCCCUAGGGUUGUAAAGCUCUUUUGUGCGGGAAGAUAAUGACGGUACCGCAAGAAUAAGCCCGGCUAACUUCGCGCCAGCAGCCGC